GCAUUGGUGGUUCAGUGCUAGAACUCCUACCUCACAUGUGGGAGACCCUGGUUCCAUUGUGGCCAAUGCA
This 70-nucleotide transfer RNA is filed under the name Loxodonta africana (African savanna elephant). It matches the Rfam family "tRNA". Rfam says of the family: Transfer RNA (tRNA) molecules are approximately 80 nucleotides in length. Their secondary structure includes four short double-helical elements and three loops (D, anti-codon, and T loops). The record is from Rfam by way of RNAcentral. Lineage: Eukaryota; Metazoa; Chordata; Mammalia; Proboscidea; Elephantidae.